Molecule: long non-coding RNA, 301 nt
Organism: Daphnia magna
Lineage: Eukaryota; Metazoa; Arthropoda; Branchiopoda; Diplostraca; Daphniidae
Exons: 2
Source: RefSeq, a predicted model, not a curated record
GCUUGACCUAUUAGCAGUGUUACUUAAUCGAGUUGUACAGAAUUCUGUUUAAAAACUAGUUAGUUUCGAAGGACCAUUGACAAUAAUUACUCUUACUGAUAAUACCUGAUAAGUAAUUACUGAUUUGAAGACACUUGACUCAGAAGGAACAUUAACCGAGAUCGGCCACCAAGAAGACGCUGAACACAGCACCCCUGGCGGCCUUACACAUACUAUAAAUCAAAAAUAGUGGGCUUGCGAACUAGUCGGCCCGACCUAGUUAAUUGUCCGUCAGGUGGCGGGUCGUGAUCCGCAACACCAU